RNAcentral lists this ribosomal RNA (880 nucleotides) under Pseudomonas fluorescens. RNAcentral's name for it is "partial 16S ribosomal RNA". It matches the Rfam family "Bacterial small subunit ribosomal RNA", at positions 1 to 765 of the family's 1533-position model. The record is from RNAcentral. Lineage: Bacteria; Pseudomonadati; Pseudomonadota; Gammaproteobacteria; Pseudomonadales; Pseudomonadaceae.
GAAGGUUAGAUAGGAACUUCUGGUGCACCCCACUUUCCAUGGUUUGAAGGUGGCAAAGACGCGAAAAGGUGUUUUGAAGUUUGAACGCUGGCGGCAGGCCUAACACAUGCAAGUCGAGCGGAUGACGGGACAUUGUAGGAGUUGUGUAGCCCAAGCCGUUGAGUAAUGCCUAGGAAUCUGCCUGGUAGUGGGGGACAACGUUUCGAAAGGAACGCUAAUAAGGGCCAUGACCUACGGGAGAAAGCAGGGGACCUUCGGGCCUUGCGCUAUCAGAUGAGCCGAGUUUAAACUUUGCGGCCGUAGGUCGGAUUAGCUAGUUGCGAGCGGACGACAGCCAUCCAGCACGUGUCUCAAUGGUCCCUGAGAGGAUGAUCAGUCACACUGGAACUGAAGGACAAAGGUUGCGGUCGCGGGAGGCAGCAGUGGGGAAUAUUGGACAAUGGGCGAAAGCCUGAUCCAGCCAUGCCGCGUGUGUGAAGACCCCACUCCUGCCUCUCGUAGGAGUCGGGACCGUGCCUCAGUUUCAGGGUAAUACCUUGCUGUUUUGACGUUACCGACAGAAUAAGCACCGGCUAACUCUGUGCCAGCAGGAAUUAAAGCACAUGCUCCACGCGGUAAUACAGAGGGUGCAAGCGUUAAUCGGAAUUACUGGGCGUAAAGACAUUGGUUAUGGUUCGUUAAGUUGGAUGUGAAAGCCCCGACUAGCAAAUCCGACCUCGGGGCUCAACCUGGGAACUGCAUCCAAAACUGGCGAGCUAGAGUACGGUAGAUUUGCUGCCCACGCUGUCGCACCUCAAUGUCAGUACCAGUCCAGGUUGUCACACCAGUGGCGAAGGCGACCACCUGGACUGAUACUGACACUGAGUGCGAAAAGACGCCC